Molecule: unclassified non-coding RNA, 354 nt
Filed under: soil metagenome
Description: partial contains 5.8S ribosomal RNA, internal transcribed spacer 2, and large subunit ribosomal RNA
Rfam family: 5.8S ribosomal RNA (bases 1-120)
Source: RNAcentral
GAUGAAGAACGUAGCGAAAUGCGAUAAGUAAUGUGAAUUGCAGAAUUCCGUGAAUCAUCGAAUCUUUGAACGCACAUUGCGCCCCCUGGCAUUCCGGGGGGCAUGCCUGUCCGAGCGUCAUUUCUGCCCUCCAGCCCGGCUGGGUGUUGGGCGCUGUCCCCCCUGGGACACGCCCCAAAGGCAGUGGCGGCGCCGCGUCGGGUCCUCGAGCGUAUGGGGCUUUGUCACCCGCUCGGGACGGACUCGUCGGCGCUGGUCUUCCUCCAGGCGACCCUUCGGGGCUCGUCUUCCUUCGGUUGACCUCGGAUCAGGUAGGGUUACCCGCUGAACUUAAGCAUAUCAAUAAGCGGAGGA